RNAcentral lists this ribosomal RNA (253 nucleotides) under uncultured bacterium. RNAcentral describes it as "partial 16S ribosomal RNA". It matches the Rfam family "Bacterial small subunit ribosomal RNA", at positions 524 to 776 of the family's 1533-position model. The record is from RNAcentral.
UACGUAGGGAGCAAGCGUUGUUCGGAUUUACUGGGCGUAAAGGGCGCGUAGGCGGCAGAUCAAGUCAGUUGUGAAAUCUCUGAGCUUAACUCAGAACUGUCAACUGAUACUGCUCUGCUAGAGUGCGGAAGGGGCAAUCGGAAUUCUUGGUGUAGCGGUGAAAUGCGUAGAUAUUCGGAAGAACACCAGUGGCGAAGGCGACUCACUGGACACGUAUUGACGCUGAGGUGCGAAAGCGUGGGGAGCAAACAGG